GACGAACGCUGGCGGCGUGCUUAACACAUGCAAGUCGAACGGAAAGGCCCCUUCGGGGGUACUCGAGUGGCGAACAGGUGAGUAACACGUGAGUAACCUGCCCUUGACUUCGGGAUAACUUCAGGAAACUGGGGCUAAUACCGGAUAGGAAUCCUUGCUGCAUGGUGGGGGUUGGAAAGCUUCGGCGGUUUUGGAUGGACUCGCGGCUUAUCAGCUUGUUGGUGGGGUAGUGGCUUACCAAGGCUUUGACGGGUAGCCGGCCUGAGAGGGCGACCGGCCACAUUGGGACUGAGAUACGGCCCAGACUCCUACGGGAGGCAGCAGUGGGGAAUAUUGCACAAUGGGCGGAAGCCUGAUGCAGCAACGCCGCGUGCGGGAUGACGGCCUUCGGGUUGUAAACCGCUUUCAGCAGGGGCGAAGCUUGUGGUGACGGUACCUGCAGAUGAAGCACCGGCUAACUACGUG
This 465-nucleotide ribosomal RNA is filed under the name uncultured bacterium. Its description in RNAcentral is "partial 16S ribosomal RNA". It matches the Rfam family "Bacterial small subunit ribosomal RNA", at positions 28 to 507 of the family's 1533-position model. The record is from RNAcentral.